This 68-nucleotide transfer RNA is filed under the name Endochironomus albipennis. Its description in RNAcentral is "tRNA-Ala". It matches the Rfam family "tRNA". Rfam says of the family: Transfer RNA (tRNA) molecules are approximately 80 nucleotides in length. Their secondary structure includes four short double-helical elements and three loops (D, anti-codon, and T loops). Lineage: Eukaryota; Metazoa; Arthropoda; Insecta; Diptera; Chironomidae. The record is from RNAcentral.
AAGAAUAUAGUUAAUUAUAACAUUUGAUUUGCAUUCAAAAAGUAUUAGCUUUACUCUAAUUAUUCUUA